AGCGAACGCUGGCGGCAGGCUUAACACAUGCAAGUCGAGCGGGCCCCUCGGGGUCAGCGGCGGACGGGUGAGUAACGCGUGGGAACGUGCCUUCUGGUCUGGAAUAACCCUGGGAAACUAGGGCUAAUACCGGAUACGCCCUUUUGGGGAAAGGUUUACUGCCGGAAGAUCGGCCCGCGUCUGAUUAGCUAGUUGGUGGGGUAACGGCCUACCAAGGCGACGAUCAGUAGCUGGUCUGAGAGGAUGAUCAGCCACACUGGGACUGAGACACGGCCCAGACUCCUACGGGAGGCAGCAGUGGGGAAUAUUGGACAAUGGGCGCAAGCCUGAUCCAGCCAUGCCGCGUGAGUGAUGAAGGCCUUAGGGUUGUAAAGCUCUUUUAUCCGGGACGAUAAUGACGGUACCGGAGGAAUAAGCCCCGGCUAACUUCGUG
This 433-nucleotide ribosomal RNA is filed under the name uncultured bacterium. Its description in RNAcentral is "partial 16S ribosomal RNA". It matches the Rfam family "Bacterial small subunit ribosomal RNA", at positions 29 to 507 of the family's 1533-position model. The record is from RNAcentral.